This 74-nucleotide transfer RNA is filed under the name Fuerstiella marisgermanici. RNAcentral's name for it is "Fuerstia marisgermanicae tRNA". It matches the Rfam family "tRNA". Rfam says of the family: Transfer RNA (tRNA) molecules are approximately 80 nucleotides in length. Lineage: Bacteria; Pseudomonadati; Planctomycetota; Planctomycetia; Planctomycetales; Planctomycetaceae. The record is from Rfam by way of RNAcentral.
GGACCUAUAGCUCAGUUGGCUAGAGCGCCACGUUGACAUCGUGGAGGUCACAGGUUCGAGUCCUGUUAGGUCCA